Molecule: unclassified non-coding RNA, 329 nt
Filed under: Hevea brasiliensis (rubber tree)
Lineage: Eukaryota; Viridiplantae; Streptophyta; Magnoliopsida; Malpighiales; Euphorbiaceae
Source: RNAcentral
AAGUGACUAAGACAGAGCUGGAAUCUUUUAUAAAGUUUGCUCCAGCAUAUUUUAAGUAUCUUUCAGAAUCCAUAAACUCAAGGAGUCCUACUUGCCUGGCAAAAAUUUUGGGGAUCUAUCAGGUGACAUCUAAGCAUCUUAAAGGAGGGAAGGAAUCUAAACUGGAUGUGCUAGUUAUGGAGAACCUUCUAUUUGGGAGGAACCUAACGCGGCUUUAUGACCUUAAAGGAUCUGCCAGGUCUCGUUACAAUCCCGACUCUAGUGGAAGUAAUAAGGUCUUACUGGAUCAGAACCUGAUCGAGUCUAUGCCAACUUCACCUAUUUUUGUU